RNAcentral lists this ribosomal RNA (466 nucleotides) under uncultured bacterium. RNAcentral describes it as "bacterial SSU rRNA". It matches the Rfam family "Bacterial small subunit ribosomal RNA", at positions 28 to 507 of the family's 1533-position model. The record is from RNAcentral.
GACGAACGCUGGCGGCGUGCUUAACACAUGCAAGUCGAACGGUGACGAGGAGCUUGCUCCUCUGAUCAGUGGCGAACGGGUGAGUAACACGUGAGCAACCUGCCCCAGACUCUGGGAUAACAGUUGGAAACAGCUGCUAAUACCGGAUACGAGACGGAGAGGCAUCUCUACCGUCUGGAAAGUUUUUCGGUCUGGGAUGGACUCGCGGCCUAUCAGCUUGUUGGUGAGGUAAUGGCUCACCAAGGCGACGACGGGUAGCCGGCCUGAGAGGGCGACCGGCCACACUGGGACUGAGACACGGCCCAGACUCCUACGGGAGGCAGCAGUGGGGAAUAUUGCACAAUGGGCGAAAGCCUGAUGCAGCGACGCCGCGUGAGGGAUGACGGCCUUCGGGUUGUAAACCUCUUUCAGCAGGGAAGAAGCGCAAGUGACGGUACCUGCAGAAGAAGCACCGGCUAACUACGUG